Non-coding RNA from Arabidopsis thaliana x Arabidopsis arenosa, 142 nucleotides. NCBI's taxonomy places the organism in Eukaryota, Viridiplantae, Streptophyta, Magnoliopsida, Brassicales, Brassicaceae. The record is from the annotation of a GenBank genome assembly.
UAUUGGCUUAGUUAGGAGGCGUAUAUCAAUCUUGAUCAUCAAUACUUUUCUGUAUUGUUUUGAUUUGUGGCUUUUUGUUUUCUGGAGAAGCUUCUGGUUUUUUUAACCUAUCAAGCUUCUCCACUAAAAGUUUCAGACAUCA